This 404-nucleotide long non-coding RNA is filed under the name Apteryx owenii (little spotted kiwi). RNAcentral's name for it is "lncRNA (ENSAOWG00000001073.1)". Lineage: Eukaryota; Metazoa; Chordata; Aves; Apterygiformes; Apterygidae. The record is from RNAcentral.
UGUCUGAGAACCUCGGCUGGCCUUGGAGAAAAAAAUGGGCAGAAGCCCCUCCUUCCCUUGGGAGCUGCUUUUGAGGUGAGGCUCUCCUGCUUGGUGUCCGCCUGAGCUGUACUGCAGCUGCGCCGCAGCCAUGCCCAUGCCUGGCCAUGUACGCCCUCGAUCCAGACCCCAGCCUUGACCCCCAGACUUCCUUCCCGGUGCGACCUCGGCUUGUCCGGUGAGCUGAACUGAAUGCUGUCAUGGAUGGUGCAGCUUCCCCCUGCAGAUCUACCAAUAUAAAAUCUACAGUUUGUUUUUUCAGAGAGGCACAGCAGUAUGUUUGCCACAGCCAUACCACCUGCAGGGCAUUUUAUGCACAAAUCCCCCACAGCGCUCUUUCGAGGCAUGUGUCAAAGUUGUGUUGA